CAGUCGCCGCGGGAACACGUAGGUGGCAAGCGUUGUCCGGAAUUAUUGGGCGUAAAGGGCUCGCAGGCGGUUCCUUAAGUCUGAUGUGAAAGCCCCCGGCUCAACCGGGGAGGGUCAUUGGAAACUGGGAAACUUGAGUGCAGAAGAGGAGAGUGGAAUUCCACGUGUAGCGGUGAAAUGCGUAGAGAUGUGGAGGAACACCAGUGGCGAAGGCGACUCUCUGGUCUGUAACUGACGCUGAGGAGCGAAAGCGUGGGGAGCGAACAGGAUUAGAUACCCCAGUAGUCCCUGUCUCUUAUAC
RNAcentral lists this ribosomal RNA (301 nucleotides) under uncultured bacterium. RNAcentral describes it as "partial 16S ribosomal RNA". It matches the Rfam family "Bacterial small subunit ribosomal RNA", at positions 509 to 807 of the family's 1533-position model. The record is from RNAcentral.